AGCCGGCUGCCUUCCUCAGCAGCGCUGCUUCUCAAACGCGUGCGGAUCCGGCAGCGCGGAGGAAUGUAAAGCGCGAAUUAAAGAAAAGCUGGUAACCAGCAGAGAAGAUACAAAAGCUAAAAUCACUAUGUGGAGCUGUGAAACCUUAAACAACAGUACCGAGAACAGUGAGGACCAGCAUCUCUGCUAUGACUUCCACCUUGUGCUUUCCAUCUUUUCCCUACUCUACCUCAUUAUAUGUUUCCCAAUUGGCCUUUGUUACAAUGGCUUGCUGGUCCUAGUUAAUCUCUAUAACAAAGCUACUAUGACUAUGCCAGAUGUUUACUUUGUCAACAUUGCCAUUGCCGGUCUCAUCAUCAACGCUCUGGCACCAAUGUACCUUCUAGGUCUUGCCAAUACAAAAUGGGCCAUCUGGAAUUCUAACAAUGAAGUUUAUAUUACCUUACUUAUUUUAUUCAACGUCUCAUCUUUAGUUACCAUGUACUCUACUACAUUACUCAGUCUGGACUACUACAUUGAACGUGCUCUACCUAGAACUUACAUGUCAAGUGUGUACAACACCAAACAUGUUUGUGGAUUCAUAUGGGGUGGUGCCAUGCUUACAAGUUUUUCAUCUCUCCUGUUCUACGUCUGCAAUCACGUAUCCACUAAAAUAAUUGAAUGUUCCAAGAUGCAGAACAAAGAAGCAGCAGAUGCCAUUAUGGUCUUUAUCGGGUAUGUUGUACCAGCUAUCGCUGUACUGUAUGCACUUAUAUUAAUCUUGCGAAUACGCAAAGAGGCUACACCACUGGAUCAAGACACUGGACGAUUAGAUCCAUCGGUGCACAGGCUUUUGAUUGCCACAGUCUGUACACAGUUCACGUUAUGGACACCCUAUUAUGUUAUUCUCUUGGUAAGCACAUUUACUAAUGCACAAGGAAGAAUUUCAGAUGACAGUUACAGUCGAAUAUUACAUUUUACCAAGAUUUUAUCAAAAUUCUUGGCUUUCUCAAGCAGCUUUGUAAUGCCUCUGCUCUACAGAUACAUUAACAAAAACUUUCCCAACAAAUUACGACGUUUGCUUAAAAAGAUACACUGUGGGAAUCAAGGGUGUUCUCAUGAACGCACAGUAGUGCAGCAAGUUAUGACGUAGGUAUGAAAAAACACUCUGGUGCUCUGUUACUGCAGUACUUAACAUACCAGUACUGGGACUGUGAUAUUGCUGUGUUGGCACUCAGAGUCAUUAAUGUGAGAGUCCCAACCAAGAGGCUGGAAGGAGCUUUCCAUUACAGUUAAAUGAAACAGUCUUAAUUUUCAAAUAGUUAAUUGUUUGCCGAAAUCUUGUGAGACUGGCCUAUGUGCUGUAAUACCUGUGACAUCUAAUACUUUCAGUGCACUGAAUUGGUUACAGAGCAGACACUCGUGUCUUCAUCUUUAUUGAAGUCUUGACUGAAGACACAGCACCUUGUAUUUUGUAUAGAAAAAGGUAUUGCCUUAUUUUCUGUACAAAGAAGUAACAGUGCUAUCCUUGAUGAAGUAAAUAGCAUUUUUCAAUGAAGAUGAUAUAGAUGAUCUCUACUAAAGGUCAUAUUAUCCAAUUAUACAUGUCCAAGUAGUAAAUGUUAAUUAUAAAUUAAAUUAUUUAAUUUCUUUCUCCAUCAAUGAUUCCCCUCUAAAAGAAGCCUAAUUUACCAUUUUCAGAAAUUAUUUUCUCGCACGAACUAACCUAAGUUUUAACGUCUAUGGUAAAUUCCUUUUUUUCUAGAUAUAACAAUUAACAAAAAUGUGUUUUAUUUUUCCAGUGCUUUGUUUGCAUCCUAAAACAUUUCAAGAAUUCAGAAAUAUUUAUUAACUAAUUCUAAGGGAACUGAGAAAUGUUUGUUCCACAUAUUAAAAUGAAGGACACAGUGGUUUACAAAGCUAAAUCAAAAUUUAACUAGUAAAGAAUGUCUGGCUAAGUGUUAUGGUCCACAUAUGUUCAUGUAACAAGAGUAAUUAUCUUAAAAAUAAAUAUGUUUAUGAAAAACAUUUUGUAUUUUCAAGGGAUAUGUUUGCAACGAAUAAAUUAAAGUCUCUUUAAUCUAGGGCAUCACUGGAGGUUUGGAAACCAUAUAAAAUCCCUCAAUACAUAGAAGAUUUUAAAAUGGGAGUAAUAUAUAGGAAUCACAGUCAGCAUCAGUUCUUUGCUGACCGCUCAGAAAUGGAGUGCCUCCCAGUGUCAUUCUUGAAUACACAAUAAAAGUAUAGUUUCUGUAUUUCACAGUGGGGAUGAAGAAAUCCAAUCCAGAUUGCCAAAUUUUACUGAGCAUAUGAAAUACAUAAGAAACACAAACAUGCUGCAGGAAGCAAAUUAACAGUUACCCACAACAGCAAACUACGAAACGUUGACCCAGGAACUACCUGUUCCUAUGCUGUUGUUGCAUUAUUAAUGACAGAGGAGACGCAGAAGUUAAACUGAUAUUCUCCCACUGAUUUUGGGGUAGCAAGGCAUCUUUGUCACUCACCCUGCAACACAGCAGAAUUAUUUUGUUGCUUAAUCUGUCACAACACAACUCAAAUUCCGUAUGACUAUUAAGUGGCUUUUCAAGCCUCUGGUAUAGAAAAAACCAUGGAGCAAAACCAGAAUUGAACCUUUUCCAUUGCUUAUAGCACAAUCUCAUCUGAUAAUUGGUCCUAAUUUGUCAGCAUAGAGACAUGCUUAAGUUCUAAGUGGGAAGCAGGUGAGGAACAGCCUUUUCAGAUCUUUUCCCUUCUCUUCAACAUUAUUCAAGUAAUUUUGUCUCACAGCCAUCUUUGCUUAUCUUCUUCAUAUACAAGCAUCUCUAAGUUAUCAACAUCCAGGUGGAAGACUCUCCAUUAAUCUUUACUUUUUUAAUAGCUUUUCACAUUUUACUGAUUUUUUUUUUUAACCCUUAAACUCUAUAUGGUAAAUCAUCUAUUUCUAUGGCUUUUUCUCCACCCAAAAACUAUCCAGUGCAACUACAUUAAUUUACUUCAUAGUUUCAGCCUGUUGAUGAAACCCAUGUAAAGCCUUUCUUUAUCAUUGUGUCUGAUUCACACACUAAUCUAUAGUGCCUCUAUGCUGACAUGAUACUGGCUGCUUUGGUAAACCACUGGGUUGGUUGGUUGGGUUUUUUCCCCCCCCGCUUAAUUUGAGAGGUUUUCUAUGAAUUUCUACACAUCUUGAGCAUUCAAGCUCACUUCCACACAGAAGUGCUUAAGAAAGAAAACCUUCCUUAUAACUGUCAAGCAAAGAGGCUCCUCUUCAUCCCAUCUGAGGGAAAUCAGGUUUCCUAAUGCACCACAUUAAAUCUCUCAUGUAAAAUCUGUCAAAGAAAUUCCAUCCCAUUAUGCAGGAAAAAUUCCAUCGAGGAGGAACUGGCUUAUCUGGUGUGAAUAAAGGCUUCCAGAACUGGGACACUGCCAGGACGGUGUGGCUGAACAGGCGGCAUUAACUGCAAUUUCAGCUUCCAUGUUGCUUCCUUACUUCUGUUUCCCCCGUCUCCUAACACAUCUUAUUUUCUGUCUCUAACAGGACUGUCGCAUUUAUUUCUGUUCCUUUCUCUCCAUGUUAAAUUCCCAGUUUCAGAUCAUGGCUCUUUUAUCAUCUCUCUUUAGCUUCUUCUCCCAUCUUUUCCACUUUUCUAUCCAAACGUGCUAUUCUAUUUAAUUUUCAUUUUGCUCCUCUGUUUCCGUCCAUACUUGGUCUUGUACACUUGGCACCAUUCACCACUCACAUUUACUUCACUAGACUGACUCCUUUACGAUGACCCAAAUCUCAUUCAAUGAUUUGACAUUACAAAUGGAUUUAUGUAGUAAAAUGGAAGCUGCUAUUUAAGAGAUGGAGAAAGAACAAGUUUUUAUAUGAUUUACCCUUGAAAUCUCAUUUUUUUUUUCUAAUCUUUUUUAUUGCAGCAGAGUUAAGUACGUUUGCGUGUAUCCUUGAUAAUAUACUAAAUGUGAUGGCAAUCGUAUAGACAAACAACUUCCAUAAUUUAAUGAACAAGACUGAUAUCCACUCAACUUUUUUUUUAAGAGUUAAUUUGAUGUAUUAGUUGCCUCAAAGAAACUGUACCAUGGAGCUGCCUGACUGCUAUUCUCUUAAGGAAAUUCUGAACUUAAUUGCAGCACCCUCACAUGGUAUCUCUUAAAAAGCAGUAUCCCAAAAAGUGAGAACUUAUAUAAAAAACAGUAGAUGAGCAAGUACAGUAAAAUACUUCAGGAAAUACAUGGUAUCAUAAAUAUGGAAGAACUUUUAUAGACAAAUCUUUAAUAUACAAAGUUCUCAAGAAUGGGGCCUUUCCAUUUCAUAUACCUGAAGGUUUCUGAUGACUGUAAAUAGGGGCUUAUCUAUUUCACAUUUAAAUAAAUAUGAGUAAAAUACUGUAUAUAUGCAAGAUAAAAAAAAAAAAUCAGCCUACUGAUGUAAAAAGACUUUGCAAAGAAUUUAUUAAAUUAUUUCUUAAAGUGUAUCAUUUAAAUGUAAAGCUCUGAACAGUAAGGUGUACUGUAUGUUUCUGUGUAUAUAUAUACUGUAUAUUAGAAAGUAAGCACUAGUUAAGUGCCAUUAACAACAGUGUUAUUUUCUCACAGAAUUAAAUUUAAUAUUUUAGUUGAUCUAUGGCUUAUACCCUCUUGCUGAACCGCCAAUUAAGUCAAAUCAAUUAACUAACAAAAAUGUUGCUCUCUGCUUCUGCUUAAAUUAUUAACACAGCUAGCUCAAGACAGGUCCUUGUUGACUAACCUAGUAGAGGUCCUAGUUUCCAAAGUUUUCAUUUGAGAAUCAAAUUGAGUUGGUCUCUGAAGACAUAAUUUCAGUUAAUGAAAGAAAGUGAUCAACCCCUAGAAAAUUUCUGGUUGUAUGAAAAUGAAGCGAUGUGGCCUUUGAUAUUAUGUCAAAAUACUACAGAAAUGGACUUUCUGCAAAGCCUCACAAAGGAACUAUUGACUUAUAAUAAAUUCCCAAUAAAAAGUGUUAAAAUGUAUCUGGUCAGUAAGAUGUGUCUUUUUUUUUUGGCCGCCUUGAUAAAAAAAAAACUAUUGUAGACAAGGUUAAAUCCGUAUUGCUUCGCUGAAUCAAAACAUAACAAAUUGUGUGACUUGGAUGUCAAAUCAGACAUGUUAAGUUAUCAGAUUUUCCAGGCCAUAAUUUUGACAUCAUUAAAAUCUCAUUAUUCAUCAGCAUGAAGUUAGCUGGGAAUGAAAGCAAAGAGACACACACCCCCAACUCUUUUCAGCAUAAAGAAUCCUGCAACUAAUAGGAUGGAGUAACACUGCACCACAGAAAUACAAGGCUGGUGAUUAAUGCAU
This is an RNA transcript of Aptenodytes forsteri (emperor penguin), 5289 nucleotides long. It is a transcript of the gene named G protein-coupled receptor 146, with no coding region annotated. The record is from RefSeq and is a predicted model, not a curated record. NCBI's taxonomy places the organism in Eukaryota, Metazoa, Chordata, Aves, Sphenisciformes, Spheniscidae. The transcript is spliced from 3 exons.